AAGAAAACGUUGACGAGGAAAAGUAAUCUCAGUUAGGUAUCUACAGAGAGCCGGUGGUGCUGCAAACCGGUGUUACCCCUGAUGGUGAACUCACCUCUGAGUGUCAAUCUGAACGAUGAUUUGCUAUUAGGAUUGACCGAGUGUUUUAAAUCACUCGUUACAAAAAAAGGGCGGAGCAAUGUGGAAUUAUGAUCAUUGUCGCUCAUGAGGUGCUGCUCCGAAAGGAGUAUCACGAAUUUAGGGUGGUAUCGUGGAGAGCUAAAACCUUUUCACCCCUUUG
Molecule: regulatory RNA element, 280 nt
Rfam family: T-box leader
About the family: Uncharged tRNA acts as the effector for transcription antitermination of genes in the T-box leader family.
Source: Rfam